This 253-nucleotide ribosomal RNA is filed under the name uncultured bacterium. Its description in RNAcentral is "partial 16S ribosomal RNA". It matches the Rfam family "Bacterial small subunit ribosomal RNA", at positions 524 to 776 of the family's 1533-position model. The record is from RNAcentral.
UACGGAGGGUGCAAGCGUUAAUCGGAUUUACUGGGCGUAAAGCGCGCGUAGGUGGCCAAUUAAGUCAAAUGUGAAAUCCCCGAGCUUAACUUGGGAAUUGCAUUCGAUACUGGUUGGCUAGAGUAUGGGAGAGGAUGGUAGAAUUCCAGGUGUAGCGGUGAAAUGCGUAGAGAUCUGGAGGAAUACCGAUGGCGAAGGCAGCCAUCUGGCCUAAUACUGACACUGAGGUGCGAAAGCAUGGGGAGCAAACAGG